Non-coding RNA from Physcomitrium patens, 2721 nucleotides. Lineage: Eukaryota; Viridiplantae; Streptophyta; Bryopsida; Funariales; Funariaceae. The record is from RefSeq and is a predicted model, not a curated record.
UUUGUGAUCAAUUGUUAGUUAUUUCUGGAGUGUGGAUUGCGGUGCAAGAAUGUAGAAAUGCGAGCCCAUGUCUGACAAUGACUGCCGACAUUACCGCCAGACUUGGGCUUCAAGCUUCUUCUAUGCUGGAGCUGCCAUAGAGAAUUUGAUAAAUACUGAAGCUCAGUGGUUACAUGACACAUGUUCGUUCUGGUUGAAAUCCGAUUUCGGUGAUAAAGACUGCAAUAGAAUCGCCUUCAGCCCCCCAGCAGAUUUGCAGAUACUUCUUCAGGUCUCAAUUCGUGCUGUUAGAAAACUUCGAAGUGAAUAGUCUUCGGAGGGAUUGGUGGGUGCUGUGAGUUAAACUCAUUCGAACGUUAGGCUUCGGAGGUGCGGAAUGGGUGGAAUGAGCUUGGAAGGUGACGGGGGCAGCUCGAAGUGGAACCCUCCCCGUAUCAGGUGCUGAUGCCGCUGCUUCUUGCUAAGGGCAAGAUAUUGGUUUUCGAACCUCGUCAACAGUCGAACCUGAGCUUGAGAAUCCUGCACUGCGCUAUCUGUCUGGACGUAAAGUAGUUGAUGCAACUCACUGGUGUGAACACCAGCUUGAGUUCAAGAGAUUUCUAAAUGCUCAGAAGAUUUCAAGUGCAUUCUGCAUCGCGUUAAAUUCUGAAAUAGUUUUUAGCUGAAAUGGAUACUUCCAGUGAUUAAAGUCAUUUACCUUUGCUAGUGGGAAAAUUGAACUGUGGAAUGUGGACUUCUUCAUCACAUGAUGCAAAAGGAGGCAGAUUCUUCAUUUCGUGGGAUAAACUUCUCUGAGCUCGGCCCAGUUUGCUGCGCACGGUGAGAAUGACAAAUUUUGUAACGAGGAACAAUUUUUUUUUCAAGUAAAGCCGGCAAAACGAAUGAAGACAUCCCAACAGUUUUGGGACCUGGGCCGCGGAACUUCGAAUGGUUGAAAACGUAUGACGGUCGCAGGUUGCGAUCCUGGAGGUCGACGUUGACAAGAGAACCCUGCCGCUGCAGUCGGCAAUUGCGACUUCAAGUUUUCCUUCUCACCCGUACCCAGCUUGAGAGAGAGGGACAUAGAGUUUGACCAGACCACAAAGAGAUUUGUUGCUAAAGGGUGAAUUCGUCGUGGCCAUGGCAGGAACAGCAGUCAAAACUUUAAGUGAGAUUUUCGCUAGUGUCACUGACCUUUGACAGUGUCUUCAUUUGUCCAACUCCUACAUCAUGCGGUACGUAAUCUCGCAUGCUUAACACUCUCCGGUACAGGCGAAAUCAAGUGAAUCCAACAAUGAUGCACGGAUUCCAAUAAAUUUGAGGGUCGAAUAUCUACGCCACAUGCUUACAUGAACUCACUCAGUCGCUGCUGACCUAUAUUCAUCUUUGUAUUCCUAACUGAAAGUUUCGACCGUAAUCUGGUUCUCAGUUUUAGUCCUGUAGUGAUUCACCACCUCCUCCGGAUCCAAAUGUGCGUUACCAUUUCGUUUGAAAUAAUCAGUGCUUCUUACGAUACUUCCACCCCACCCACCUCCGCAAAUGUUUUGCACUUCUGUGAAAUCGUGAGUCUGGCGCCAAAAGUUGAAAAAACUAUAGCGAUAGGGUCGAAGUGUGAUAACGAACACGACUCCGCGAAAACCUACGCGGGGGUGGAAUGGUUUGUCUCAUUACUUCGUCCUCUGAUCGUUUAGGACGAGAUACGAAUGCAUUGUGGAGUUGUUGCAGGGAGAGAUGGCCCAUGAGUACUGUAUCUCCUGACAGGAGACUGAGAAGACAGAGAUUCUAUCAUAACACAAAGUGUAUACCAUACAGAAACAUAUAAUAAUGGUUGCGCAAUGCACAGUACAAAGGUGAUCGAUAUGAUUUUUCGAACAGUACAUAUACCUUCGAGACGAUAGUUCGAGGAUGACAACCUGGAUGAGAGUGAUGCCCUGUCAGGUCAUGUGAUCAGGGUAUAUAUCAGAUAUCUCUGACAUGCCCCCUCACUUGGAUGUGUUUACGAUGAUAUUCAAGUGGAACAAGGUGUCUAGACAUAAGGUUUUAGAAGUUUAACGGUGAACGAUGGUGAAGGAGUGUGAACGAUAGGAAGAAGAGUUCUGUUGAAAGUGUAAACAUCCGACACAAGAGGUGGUCUGUGAUGAUCGUCGGUCUUUGGUGAGAGUGCGUUCUUUCCUCGUGUCUUGGUGGUGACUGUUUUUUGAGAGUAUGUAGAUGUGUUGACUUUUUUUUUUUUUUUUUUUUUGAAGCAGAUGCAGUUGAUCUCCCUCAGGUGUUGGUGUAUCACUGUUGCUCUGCGUUGAGUAUGUUCUUCAAGUUUUGAUUUUGCCUUUCUAUGGCUCCAUUGGUUGAUGUCAUCGGGAAGAAUGUCGACAGUGAAGAAGCCGGAUGAGGUGAUCGGAAGGGAGCGGUACCACGUUGUGCGCUGCGGCCGUAGACCUAGUGCCUAUCUGAGUUGGACAAAGUGUAGAAAACAAGUGGAUGGGUUCAGGGGUGCCGAGCACAGAGUUUUUAAGGUGCUGGCAGAAGCUGAAGAGUUUGUGAGUGAAGUUUAGGGUUUCUAAGUAGUAUCUAUACUAGUGGCUAUCUAACCAAUUCAGAUCUUGUGUGCUUAGUUGUGAGCUAAAAUAAACUUCCACUAGUUGUAAGUUUAUUUUAGUUCACAACAAGUGAAUUAAUUAUGGAAAUUUUAGAAAUUUUAACAUUUAUUUUAAUCUUAAUCGAAUCACUUUUAACCUUCUUAAA